GUAGUUGGCAGUGUAGUAAAGCUCAUGUACAUUAGUUUUAAACCUCCUGUGUAAAUUGCACUGAGAACAUUUUCCAUAGACUACAGAAUAUUUUCCCGGUCUUUACAAAUUUAACAUUUGCCUCAUAAUGGAUCUAACAGGACACUGGUGAAUUAGUGUUUUCACCAUCAACAAACUUAAACCUUUACUUAGUGCGUACAAUAAGUAAUGUAGUAUUAAUUUAAAAAUUACAAAUAAAAAAUACAGCUGUGGAUAGAGGUAAAGGUGAACUUCACUGUCACGAGACAUGUUUGCAUAAUAGAGAUAAGUGACAUAAUUUUUAGUAACAAGUAUAAAUAACAAUAUAAAUGUUAGCCAUGAGAAACCACAAUAUAAAAAUAAUACUCCAUAUAUACACUGCUCAAAAAAAUGAAGGGAACACUUAAAUCACACAUCAGAUUUUGAUGAACGAAUUAUUCAAGUUGAAAUCUUUACUGAUGUACAUUGUUUAAUUGUCGAGAACAAAAUGACAUAACAAUGGUCAAUGGAAACCAAAAUCAUCAACCCUUUGAGAGCUGGAUUCACAGUCACACCGAAAAUCUAAGUAAAAAUUGAAAUCACAGGCUGAUCCCACUUGCGUGAAUUUCAUCACGGCAACUGAUAAUGUGUCAUAAUGAGUCAGUAGUGUGUUUGGCCCCCACAUGGCUGUAUACACUCCUGACAAUGUCUGGGCAUGGUCCUGAUGAGUCGGUGGAAGGUGUCCUGCAGAGAUCUCCUUCCAGACAUGGAUCAGGGCAUCAGUGAGCUCCUGGACAGUUCUCAAUUGGAUUUAGGUCAGGGGAACAUGAGGGCCAGUCAGUGGCAUCAAUGCCUUUGUUAAAUCACAACUCUUCACUUCCUGUAUCAACACCCUACCAAUCCUUAGUUGGCCACUCCCCCCAAGGCUAUUUAGGUCAGCCCUUUAGGCCUGCAACUUCCUCUCUAUUUCCCUCCAAACACCAGCCAGAACAAAGAGAGGAUGGAUGUGAGUUAUGAGUUAGACUUUUUACCCUAAAAUAAUUGAUUUGUUUGAUUGAUAUGGCAUGUCUUGUCUUGUCUGAGAGUAAUUGUUUUAUUUCAUUAUACUAGAUACCUGAGUUAAUCCUUGUGUUGUUUGAGUAGAAAGCCAGAUUAAGGAUGCAUUGAUGAAAAAAAAUCUGCUGCUGGAUUGAUGCCCUUCUACGGCCCUGUCCAGCUCUCCUCGUGUAACGGCCGGUCUCCUGGUAUCUCCUCCAUGCUCUUGAGACUGUGCUGGGAGACACAGCAAACCUUCUUGACACCGCAGAACUGCUCCGACAAGAAACCAUGUUCAACGGCAAAGAAGCAAAACAUGGGUGAAUGCUGGUGUGUUUUUCCACCACAGAAGACAGCUCAGACAGAGUAAAGAGAUGAGACUUCUUUUAGACUGGACCAGAAUUCCAGUCCAGUCUUCCCCAGUGAUGGACCAGCACCUGCCUUUUCUUCUGUGUCUGGCAUCAUCAACCAUCAACAACCACAUUACAGUAACACCUUGGAGUAUUAUUCCUCCACAGAACACAUAUUGUCUAUACUGUGAUCUUUUGCACAUCCUGCUCAGCAGGAGUUUGUCGGCACUUUUGUACAUAGUUUUUUUUCAUAGUUUUAUUUUUUAAAUAUGUGUAUCUAUGUUUAUUUAUCUUUUUGACUGUUUCAGUAUUUACCUUUGUGUUGUUAUUUCCUGUUAAUAUGUUAUGCACCAAACACCAAGCCAAAUAUCUUGUAAGUAAAAACCUA
This is a long non-coding RNA of Seriola aureovittata, 1770 nucleotides long. RefSeq lists it as uncharacterized. The transcript has 4 exons. The record is from RefSeq and is a predicted model, not a curated record. Lineage: Eukaryota; Metazoa; Chordata; Actinopteri; Carangiformes; Carangidae.